GUGUUGUUGGGUAGGGGAGCGUUCUGUAAGCCUGCGAAGGUGUGCUGUGAGGCAUGCUGGAGGUAUCAGAUGUGCGAAUGCUGACAUAAGUAACGAUAAAGCGGGUGAAAAGCCCGCUCGCCGGAAGACCAAGGGUUCCUGUCCAACGUUAAUCGGGGCAGGGUGAGUCGACCCCUAAGGCGAGGCCGAAAGGCGUAGUCGAUGGGAAACAGGUUAAUAUUCCUGUUCUUGGUGUUACUGCGAAGGGGGGACGGAGAAGGCUAUGUUAGCCGGGCGACGGUUGUCCCGGUUUAAGCAUGUAGGCUGGUU
Molecule: ribosomal RNA, 309 nt
Filed under: Klebsiella pneumoniae
Lineage: Bacteria; Pseudomonadati; Pseudomonadota; Gammaproteobacteria; Enterobacterales; Enterobacteriaceae
Description: bacterial LSU rRNA
Rfam family: Bacterial large subunit ribosomal RNA
Source: RNAcentral